This is a long non-coding RNA of Cotesia glomerata, 533 nucleotides long. RefSeq lists it as uncharacterized. The transcript has 3 exons. The record is from RefSeq and is a predicted model, not a curated record. Lineage: Eukaryota; Metazoa; Arthropoda; Insecta; Hymenoptera; Braconidae.
UAAUCCACAUAAUAGUCUGAUGAAUUUCAUAACGAUUACCAAGAGGAUUUAAUGGUUGUCUCAAUGGAUCAACCGUACCACUAGGAUUUGUCAAUAAUGCUGGCAAUUUCAGCUGCCAAUGACAAUCCAUGUGAGUUGGUAUUUAAUUUAGCAGCAAUAAUCUCCUGAAGAUCGGGAUGAAAACCAUUGGACUGUCGUGAACUAUUUGUACUGCGUUCACGGGUUAUUGCAGAUGAAUGAUCAUCAUUAAUUAAAUUAUUUGAUGAUAAUGGGGUUGUCGAAAUUUGCGUUGGUGUUGAGUGCUAACACACGGGGCCGCCUUUUAAUCCAUUGGUGCGGUGGAGCCUCUUGUUGUCUAUACCAGUCCAUACCAUGCAUCAUCAACUUAUACACCAGCAAAAGCCAAAACUUGUUCUUACUUUUAAUCACUUGAACUUAAUAUUUUGCUUUUAAUGUAAUUACUGCUUCAAUUAAUAAAUUCAUCACAACAAACAAUUGUUAAAAUUUUAAUGAAAUAAAAAAUUACAUUUAAA